UACGGAGGGGGCUAGCGUUGUUCGGAAUUACUGGGCGUAAAGCGCGCGUAGGCGGCUUAGCAAGUUAGAGGUGAAAGCCCGAAGCCCAACUUCGGAAUUGCCUUUAAAACUGCAAAGCUAGAAUCAUGGAGAGGUGAGUGGAAUUCCGAGUGUAGAGGUGAAAUUCGUAGAUAUUCGGAAGAACACCAGUGGCGAAGGCGACUCACUGGACAUGUAUUGACGCUGAGGUGCGAAAGCGUGGGGAGCAAACAGG
Molecule: ribosomal RNA, 253 nt
Filed under: uncultured bacterium
Lineage: Bacteria
Description: partial 16S ribosomal RNA
Rfam family: Bacterial small subunit ribosomal RNA
Source: RNAcentral